CGGGUAACAAAGAGUAGUCAUCAUAAGAAUUGCCGGUGGUUAUGCCUAUCCGUCAUUAGGGGGCACUCUCGUGCGUCUGAGCAGCGCAGUGAGAAAAAUAAAAAUAAAAAGAGUGUUUUAUUUCGGGGAAACGGUUUUUAUGAUUGAGGCAUCCCGGACACGAGUGAGUUGAGGUGCGUGGACUGGAAGACAACACCGUCUGUUGUUUGGACAGGGAAAAAAAGGUAAUUCCUCGGUUGGGUGUUGGUCUGGUCGCUGAGCAGUUUGGAUCAGUCUGCGAUCACACAGAUUUCGUAUUUCUCCGUGGGUGAGAAAUAUCUGCGUAGAGGAAUCGUGCAGGCCGCGGAAAUCGAGCAGGGGAGAACGAAGGCACGUGAAGGUGCAUGUGAGGUGACAGCUGGGUGAAUUUCUAAUGUGACGCAGCACGCCACAGAAAAGCAUUAUAAGCCACUACCGUUGUUUAUCCAGGGGGUUAAGGGCUCACACCAAUUUAUUUGUACUGUGUUUAAUUAAUUUUAUUUUAUUUUGUGCUACUGUGGGGCUAUCAUGGUAAAGGGAAAGAAGGGGAAUUGGCGAAACUGGCCUGAAGUUAUUUUGGUAACUGUGAGCACGAGUUGAAGUGCUUAUAUUUUUGUUUUGUUUCUUUAUACCUUUGGGGAAGCGUGCUUUUGGUUGUGUUUAUUCUUCACUGUAUACAUUUCAUCGGCACAACUCCCCUUCAUGGAAAACCUUGAGUAUUAAUGCCGCGUCUUCUGCAUACGCGGUCGGAAAUAAAGAACCCCUAGUUUAGAUACUUGGCUGUGUUUGAGUUUCUUUAAGAGUUUACACA
Sinocyclocheilus grahami is the source of this 829-nucleotide long non-coding RNA. RefSeq lists it as uncharacterized. NCBI's taxonomy places the organism in Eukaryota, Metazoa, Chordata, Actinopteri, Cypriniformes, Cyprinidae. The transcript is spliced from 3 exons. The record is from RefSeq and is a predicted model, not a curated record.